This 555-nucleotide long non-coding RNA is filed under the name Daucus carota (carrot). RNAcentral describes it as "long non-coding RNA (DCAR_LNC005302)". The record is from RNAcentral. Lineage: Eukaryota; Viridiplantae; Streptophyta; Magnoliopsida; Apiales; Apiaceae.
UAAACGGACAUAAAAAAAUAUCAUUCUAUACGUUUAUUUAUAUACGUGUUGAAAAAUUAAAUACCGCUUAAAAUAUGAACGAGUACAAUAGAUUAUUAAAAGAUUCCAAAAAUGUAUUAAAGGACACAUGUGAACCAAAAAAGCAAAGAACUCUAAACCAGUGAUGGGCCGUAUUCACAUAUCAUGUCAUCUUUCUUAUUCGACGAAGAAAGAUGCCUGCUGUUGGAACCAAUCAAAGCCUGCGUCUUGUUUUUGUCCUUUGAAGCAGCAAGGGCAAAAAUGGGAUAUUAUCAUGAUUCUGUGAUAAUCUAGUUGUAUUCUAUUUUAAGUGAGGCUGGGGAUUGUAGCUGUGAGCCUGUGACCAGAAGCAGGUCACACCCUCUUGGGAGUAUCAUAUAUUUUUACAUACACAAACGCGAAAAUACGCACCACGGUUCCAAUAUUUUUUUUGACUCAUCUAUAUGGGGAUUGGGGAAGGUCUUUUCAUCUCCAACUUUGCCUAAUCUAAUCUUCAGUCAAUGAGAAAAGCAGUUCAAUGGUUUCGAUAAAGUCGAA